RNAcentral lists this ribosomal RNA (1372 nucleotides) under uncultured bacterium. Its description in RNAcentral is "bacterial SSU rRNA". It matches the Rfam family "Bacterial small subunit ribosomal RNA", at positions 28 to 1381 of the family's 1533-position model. The record is from RNAcentral.
GAUAAACGCUGGCGGCGUGCCUAAUACAUGCAAGUCGAGCGAACGGACGAGAAGCUUGCUUCUCUGAUGUUAGCGGCGGACGGGUGAGUAACACGUGGAUAACCUACCUAUAAGACUGGGAUAACUUCGGGAAACCGGAGCUAAUACCGGAUAAUAUUUUGAACCGCAUGGUUCAAAAGUGAAAGACGGUCUUGCUGUCACUUAUAGAUGGAUCCGCGCUGCAUUAGCUAGUUGGUAAGAUAACGGCUUACCAAGGCAACGAUGCAUAGCCGACCUGAGAGGGUGAUCGGCCACACUGGAACUGAGACACGGUCCAGACUCCUACGGGAGGCAGCAGUAGGGAAUCUUCCGCAAUGGGCGAAAGCCUGACGGAGCAACGCCGCGUGAGUGAUGAAGGUCUUCGGAUCGUAAAACUCUGUUAUUAGGGAAGAACAUAUGUGUAAGUAACUGUGCACAUCUUGACGGUACCUAAUCAGAAAGCCACGGCUAACUACGUGCCAGCAGCCGCGGUAAUACGUAGGUGGCAAGCGUUAUCCGGAAUUAUCGGGCGUAAAGCGCGCGUAGGCGGUUUUUUAAGUCUGAUGUGAAAGCCCACGGCUCAACCGUGGAGGGUCAUUGGAAACUGGAAAACUUGAGUGCAGAAGAGGAAAGUGGAAUUCCAUGUGUAGCGGUGAAAUGCGCAGAGAUAUGGAGGAACACCAGUGGCGAAGGCGACUUUCUGGUCUGUAACUGACGCUGAUGUGCGAAAGCGUGGGGAUCAAACAGGAUUAGAUACCCUGGUAGUCCACGCCGUAAACGAUGAGUGCUAAGUGUUAGGGGGUUUCCGCCCCUUAGUGCUGCAGCUAACGCAUUAAGCACUCCGCCUGGGGAGUACGACCGCAAGGUUGAAACUCAAAGGAAUUGACGGGGACCCGCACAAGCGGUGGAGCAUGUGGUUUAAUUCGAAGCAACGCGAAGAACCUUACCAAAUCUUGACAUCCUUUGACAACUCUAGAGAUAGAGCCUUCCCCUUCGGGGGACAAAGUGACAGGUGGUGCAUGGUUGUCGUCAGCUCGUGUCGUGAGAUGUUGGGUUAAGUCCCGCAACGAGCGCAACCCUUAAGCUUAGUUGCCAUCAUUAAGUUGGGCACUCUAAGUUGACUGCCGGUGACAAACCGGAGGAAGGUGGGGAUGACGUCAAAUCAUCAUGCCCCUUAUGAUUUGGGCUACACACGUGCUACAAUGGACAAUACAAAGGGCAGCGAAACCGCGAGGUCAAGCAAAUCCCAUAAAGUUGUUCUCAGUUCGGAUUGUAGUCUGCAACUCGACUACAUGAAGCUGGAAUCGCUAGUAAUCGUAGAUUAGCAUGCUACGGUGAAUACGUUCCCGGGUCU